CCUACGGGAGGCAGCAGUGGGGAAUAUUGGGCAAUGGAGGCAACUCUGACCCAGCAACGCCGCGUGAAUGAUGACGGUCUUCGGAUUGUAAAGUUCUGUGAUGGGGGAUGAACACAAUGACGGUACCCCAAUAGCAAGCCACGGCUAACUACGUGCCAGCAGCCGCGGUAAUACGUAGGUGGCGAGCGUUAUCCGGAAUGAUUGGGGGUAAAGGGUGCGUAGGUGGUUUAGUAAGUUGGCGGUGUAAUUCCGUGGCUCAACCGCGGCACUACCGCCAAAACUAUUAGACUAGAGUGCAGGAGGGGUAGGGGGAAGUCGUAGUGUAGCGGUGGAAUGCGUAGAUAUUAGGAAGAACAUCGAGUGCGAAGGCAACUUACUGGACUGUAACUGACACUGAGGCACGAAAGCGUGGGGAGCAAACAGGAUUAGAUACCCCUGUAGUC
This 443-nucleotide ribosomal RNA is filed under the name uncultured bacterium. RNAcentral describes it as "partial 16S ribosomal RNA". It matches the Rfam family "Bacterial small subunit ribosomal RNA", at positions 338 to 795 of the family's 1533-position model. The record is from RNAcentral.